AAGGGUGCGAGCGUUGUUCGGAAUUACUGGGCGUAAAGGGAGUGUAGGCGGAUAUGUAAGAUAGCGGUGAAAUGCCGGGGCUCAACCCCGGAACUGCCAUUAUGACUAUGUAUCUAGAGUAAUGGAGAGGAUAGCGGAAUACCCAGUGUAGAGGUGAAAUUCGUAGAUAUUGGGUAGAACACCGGUGGCGAAGGCGGCUAUCUGGCCAUUUACUGACGCUGAGGCUCGAAAGCAUGGGGAUCAAA
This 245-nucleotide ribosomal RNA is filed under the name uncultured bacterium. RNAcentral's name for it is "partial 16S ribosomal RNA". It matches the Rfam family "Bacterial small subunit ribosomal RNA", at positions 528 to 772 of the family's 1533-position model. The record is from RNAcentral.